RNAcentral lists this ribosomal RNA (1446 nucleotides) under uncultured organism. Its description in RNAcentral is "16S ribosomal RNA". It matches the Rfam family "Bacterial small subunit ribosomal RNA". The record is from RNAcentral.
CAGGCUUAACACAUGCAAGUCGAGGGGCAGCAUGGUCUUAGCUUGCUAAGGCCGAUGGCGACCGGCGCACGGGUGAGUAACACGUAUCCAACCUGCCGUCUACUCUUGGACAGCCUUCUGAAAGGAAGAUUAAUACAAGAUGGCAUCAUGAGUCCGCAUGUUCACAUGAUUAAAGGUAUUCCGGUAGACGAUGGGGAUGCGUUCCAUUAGAUAGUAGGCGGGGUAACGGCCCACCUAGUCUUCGAUGGAUAGGGGUUCUGAGAGGAAGGUCCCCCACAUUGGAACUGAGACACGGUCCAAACUCCUACGGGAGGCAGCAGUGAGGAAUAUCGGUCAAUGGGCGAGAGCCUGAACCAGCCAAGUAGCGUGAAGGAUGACUGCCCUAUGGGUUGUAAACUUCUUUUAUAAAGGAAUAAAGUCGGGUAUGGAUACCCGUUUGCAUGUACUUUAUGAAUAAGGAUCGGCUAACUCCGUGCCAGCAGCCGCGGUAAUACGGAGGAUCCGAGCGUUAUCCGGAUUUAUUGGGUUUAAAGGGAGCGUAGAUGGAUGUUUAAGUCAGUUGUGAAAGUUUGCGGCUCAACCGUAAAAUUGCAGUUGAUACUGGAUAUCUUGAGUGCAGUUGAGGCAGGCGGAAUUCGUGGUGUAGCGGUGAAAUGCUUAGAUAUCACGGAGAACUCCGAUUGCAAAGGCAGCCUGCUAAGCUGCAACUGACAUUGAGGCUCGAAAGUGUGGGUAUCAAACAGGAUUAGAUACCCUGGUAGUCCACACGGUAAACGAUGAAUACUCGCUGUUUGCGAUAUACUGCAAGCGGCCAAGCGAAAGCGUUAAGUAUUCCACCUGGGGAGUACGCCGGCAACGGUGAAACUCAAAGGAAUUGACGGGGGCCCGCACAAGCGGAGGAACAUGUGGUUUAAUUCGAUGAUACGCGAGGAACCUUACCCGGGCUUAAAUUGCAGAUGAAUUACGGUGAAAGCCGUAAGCCGCAAGGCAUCUGUGAAGGUGCUGCAUGGUUGUCGUCAGCUCGUGCCGUGAGGUGUCGGCUUAAGUGCCAUAACGAGCGCAACCCUUGUUGUCAGUUACUAACAGGUUCCGCUGAGGACUCUGACAAGACUGCCAUCGUAAGAUGUGAGGAAGGUGGGGAUGACGUCAAAUCAGCACGGCCCUUACGUCCGGGGCUACACACGUGUUACAAUGGGGGGUACAGAGGGCCGCUACCACGCGAGUGGAUGCCAAUCCCCAAAACCUCUCUCAGUUCGGACUGGAGUCUGCAACCCGACUCCACGAAGCUGGAUUCGCUAGUAAUCGCGCAUCAGCCACGGCGCGGUGAAUACGUUCCCGGGCCUUGUACACACCGCCCGUCAAGCCAUGGGAGCCGGGGGUACCUGAAGUGCGUAACCGCGAGGAGCGCCCUAGGGUAAAACUGGUGACUGGGGCUAAGUCAUAACA